RNAcentral lists this unclassified non-coding RNA (2059 nucleotides) under Copidosoma floridanum. RNAcentral's name for it is "rNA-binding protein Nova-1, transcript variant X7". Lineage: Eukaryota; Metazoa; Arthropoda; Insecta; Hymenoptera; Encyrtidae. The record is from RNAcentral.
UCGAGUUUACAUUGCGCCGCGCGCGAGCUCCCGUCGUUAUUAAACCUCUCUCUUUCCAACUCGUUCGAAACGGUGCUGCAGUAUCGAGCGCGUGCAAGCGAGACGGAACGUAUCUGCCAAGCCAAGCUUCGUCUCCGACAAAUCCUAAAGCGAACGAGCAGGCAGAGUUGCCAGGAGUUGCGGCAAAGCCAGAAGUAGACAGAGGGCCGACAAGCCCGGAUCCGCGCGUACAUUCAGCUAGCCAGAGCAGUUCUUGUUCGUCGUGGCAAUAGAAUCAAAGAUGGCGGCUGACUCGGGUAUGGAGACGUGUCCCUCGCCGGAAAUAGUUGACUCGAGGAAGCGGCCCCUCGACAGCGACGUCGAGAACGGCUCGACGAAGCGCUCCCACUAUGGCACAGGAUCGAAUGGAGAGGGUACCUACCACCUCAAGGUACUGGUGCCAGGAGUCGCAGCCGGUGCCAUUAUCGGAAAAGGCGGCGAGACCAUCGCCCAGCUGCAAAAGGACACCGGGGCAAGGCUCAAAAUGUCCAAGUCCCAUGAUUUUUAUCCAGGGACAGCCGAGCGCGUCUGUCUCAUAACUGGCAGUGUGGAGUCAAUAAUGGCGGUAAUGGACUUCAUCAUGGAGAAAAUCCAUGAAAAGCCGGACCUGAUGUCCAAGGCCGCGGCCGAAUUCGAGUCUACCAAAUCAGCCUCCGAGAGGGAAAAACAGGUUUCUCCGGUUUUGGUGUGUCAGGUGAAAAUCCUAGUGCCAAACAGCACGGCCGGCAUGAUAAUAGGCAAGGCCGGUAACUACAUCAAGCAAAUAAAAGAAGAGACAGGCUCGUACGUGCAGAUCUCGCAGAAGGCCAAGGACGUGUCGCUCCAGGAGCGCUGCAUCACCGUCAUCGGCGACAGGGAGAACAAUCGCAACGCCAUCAUGAUGAUCCUGGCUAAGGUGGCCGACGAUCCGCAGAGCGGCACUUGCUUGAACGUGAGCUACGCCGACAUCACCGGACCCGUGGCCAACUUUAACCCCACCGGCAGUCCUUACGCCAAUGCACCCGCAGCCACGCCUGCCUUCCAAAACACCGCUGGUCUCAACACAGUUCUUAUGCCCCAAGCAGUGGGCCUGCUCAAUGGUGCUGGUCUGAAUCUGAACCUGAACCUCGGCGCGGCACUGUCCGCCGCCAGUUCGAACCCUAGCUCCACGUCCCAGCUCCUCGAGCACAUUAAGUUGAGCUUGCGCACCACCGGCUACGGCGAGCCCGCUGCCUCUGAGAUCCUCACGGCAAUCGCCACCCUCGUCAAGUACAACGUCCUCGGCAUGGGCGUGGGCAUGCCCUCGGGCAUAUCCUACCUGGGCAACGCCAUGGACUCGCAGACAACGGCCGCCGCUGUGGCCAACGGAUCCAACAACAACGGUGGCGUGUACGGUGCCAUUGGCACGGUGCCAACCCUCGGCUCCACCUCGCCCACUCCGCGAGCAGCCCUCGAUCGGUUCGAGACCUUCGUCGAUCCGUUCCGGCAGAACAGCAACGCCGCAGCAGCAGCAGCAGCAGCCGCGGCCAUGAACAUGAACAACAAUUCGUUUGGCCUGGGCACAAAUCAAUUGUCACUCGUAAGUAAGAGCCCCGCCGGCCAGGUGGACGCGGCCAACGCAGCCGCAGCCGCCGCCGGGAUCAAGGAGGGCAAGAAAGACGUUGAGAUUGCAGAGGUUAUAGUGGGAGCAAUAUUGGGACCCGGCGGUCGGAAUCUCAUUGAGAUACAGCACCUCAGCGGCGCGAACAUACAGAUAUCGAAGAAGGGCAUCUUCUCCCCCGGUACCAGAAAUCGCAUUGUCACGAUCACGGGCUUCCCCGAUGCGAUCAGAACGGCUCACUACCUGAUUGAGCACAGGAUCAGCGAGGAGGAGGCUAAGCGAGCGCGCCACAAUACCAUUACCGGCAUGAUUCAUUGAUCGGCAUCAUCCCUCGUUGAGCCGACUAACAACCAAGUCGCUGCCGCCACAGCCGCCGCCGCCGUCUCCGCUGCUAUCCACGAUCGAUUCAAUUAAUGUAUGAUUAUCAAUAUGGAGUGCCGG